AGUAGCUGGGACUGUAGACCCAGGCCACCACCACACCUAAUUUUUUUUUCUUUUUUAGACACAGAGUCUUGCUGUGUUGCUCAAGCUGACCUCCAACUUCUAGGCUCAAGUGAUCCUUCCACCUCGACCUCCCGAAGUGUUGGAAUAACAGGUGUGAGCCUGCACCCCAGCCUAAUUCCACCAUUAAUUUGUCUCAGCAACUCCUUUGUUGCCAACUUUUACCGGACCCAUGGGUCUGAAAGAGAAGCACAGUCCAUAGUGUUCCAGCUUUGAGUGUGGCUCUCUCAGAAGCAGGUGUGACAGCUGCCUCCUUGCUAAGAGAAAGACGUUUCAGUGUCUGCCUCCUGGGAAUGGAGUCUCCUGGUGACUCUGAGGAUGGCGCAGGACUCUCCCAGCUAACACUACACAGAGGCUCCCCAUCUUCAUGCCACCCCUUUGCCAGCUGCAGCCUGUGUGGACCCAGACACUUCUGACCCAGGCUCCAGUGCCCGCAUGUCUGAUAGCCUGUAUUUCAAACUCUGGGCUCCCCUGGACAUUCCCUCUCCAGCUGUGUGUGAUGUUAUUUUUCAGACCCAUUUACUGUUGUCCAGUGGCCUGCCAAGACCUUUAGGUGAAGAUGCUGACUCCCUCGCCGGCUCUUCUUCAUUCUUUUCAAACACACGUCAGAGUGGAACGCACAUCCCUUUUGCUUCACCUUCCAGGGAGAGAACGAGUCUUGAAGCAUCAACAGCUCUUUGAACACUUCCCAGGAAGACUAUUCAAGGACAUGUCUACUGGAAUCAGAAUUUUUUCCUUGGAGAUGGAGAGCUCCAAAACCCACAGUGCUUGGAAGUGAGUAUUGUGUGGUUGGAGAUAGUUUGCAGACUUUAGAUGGUAGCUGUGGAUGGUGAACUGAAAGUCAUCCUCAGCUUAAUGAUGAGUUGUCAUUUAUAAAAGAUAUCCAAAUUUUUUAUUGCAAUUAUUGUAUAGAAGUGAUCUCACAUCUGUUCUCCUUUUCUCUGCCUCCCAAAGGUAUUAUACAGAAACACAUUGUACAAAAUGUUACUCUUUGAGGAGUUUCAUUUGUUUCAUUACUUUUUUUCUUUGUACCUUUUAUAAAAUUUUAAAAUGGU
This 1112-nucleotide long non-coding RNA is filed under the name Pan troglodytes (chimpanzee). RNAcentral's name for it is "lncRNA (ENSPTRG00000054373.1)". Lineage: Eukaryota; Metazoa; Chordata; Mammalia; Primates; Hominidae. The record is from RNAcentral.